Molecule: ribosomal RNA, 441 nt
Filed under: uncultured bacterium
Lineage: Bacteria
Description: partial 16S ribosomal RNA
Rfam family: Bacterial small subunit ribosomal RNA
Source: RNAcentral
CCUACGGGAGGCUGCAGUGGGGGAUAUUGCACAAUGGGGGGAACCCUGAUGCAGCGACGCCGCGUGGGUGAAGGAGUAUUUCGGUAUGUAAAGCCCUAUCGGCAGGGAAGAAUUUAGACGGUACCUGACUAAGAAGCCCCGGCUAACUACGUGCCAGCAGCAGCGGUAAUACGUAGGGGGCAAGCGUUAUCCGGAUUUACUGGGGGGAAAGGGGGCGUAGACGGCGAUGCAAGCCUGGAGUGAAAGGCCGGGGCCCAACCCCGGGACUGCUCUGGGAACUGUCCGGCUGGAGUGCGGGAGGGGCAGGUGGAAUUCCUGGUGUAGCGGUGAAAUGCGUAGAUAUCAGGAGGAACACCGGCGGCGAAGGCGGCCUGCUGGACCGCGACUGACGUUGAGGCUCGAAAGCGUGGGGAGCGAACAGGAUUAGAUACCCCGGUAGUC